GACGAACGCUGGCGGCGUGCUUAACACAUGCAAGUCGAACGGAAAGGCCCUGCUUGCCGGGUACUCGAGUGGCGAACGGGUGAGUAACACGUGGGUGAUCUGCCCUGCACUUCGGGAUAAGCCUGGGAAACUGGGUCUAAUACCGGAUAGGAGCCAUUUUUAGUGUGAUGGUUGGAAAGUUUUUUCGGUGUAGGAUGAGCUCGCGGCCUAUCAGCUUGUUGGUGGGGUAAUGGCCUACAAAGGCGGCGACGGGUAGCCGGCCUGAGAGGGUGGACGGCCACAUUGGGACUGAGAUGCGGCCCAGACUCCUACGGGAGGCAGAAGUGGGGAAUAUUGCACAAUGGGCGCAAGCCUGAUGCAGCGACGCCGCGUGGGGGAUGACGGCCUUCGGGUUGUAAACUCCUUUCGCUAGGGACGAAGCUUUUGUGACGGUACCUAGAUAAGAAGCACCGGCUAACUACGUG
This 464-nucleotide ribosomal RNA is filed under the name uncultured bacterium. Its description in RNAcentral is "partial 16S ribosomal RNA". It matches the Rfam family "Bacterial small subunit ribosomal RNA", at positions 28 to 507 of the family's 1533-position model. The record is from RNAcentral.